Molecule: ribosomal RNA, 460 nt
Filed under: uncultured bacterium
Lineage: Bacteria
Description: partial 16S ribosomal RNA
Rfam family: Bacterial small subunit ribosomal RNA
Source: RNAcentral
CCUACGGGAGGCAGCAGUGAGGAAUAUUGGUCAAUGGACGAGAGUCUGAACCAGCCAAGUAGCGUGCAGGAAGACGGCUCUAUGAGUUGUAAACUGCUUUUGUACAAGGGUAAACCUGAAUACGUGUAUUCAGCUGAACGUACUGUACGAAUAAGGAUCGGCUAACUCCGUGCCAGCAGCCGCGGUAAUACGGAGGAUCCAAGCGUUAUCCGGAUUUAUUGGGUUUAAAUGGUGCGUAGGCGGAUUGAUAAGUUAGAGGUGAAAUGUCCGAGCUUAACUCGGGAACUGCCUCUAAUACUGUUGAACUAGAGAGUAGAUGCGGUAGGCGGAAUGUAUGGUGUAGCGGUGAAAUGCUUAGAGAUCAUACAGAACACCGAUUGCGAAGGCAGCUUACCAAUCUAUAUCUGACGUUGAGGCACGAAAGCGUGGGGAGCAAACAGGAUUAGAUACCCUUGUAGUC